RNAcentral lists this ribosomal RNA (497 nucleotides) under uncultured bacterium. RNAcentral's name for it is "partial 16S ribosomal RNA". It matches the Rfam family "Bacterial small subunit ribosomal RNA", at positions 28 to 507 of the family's 1533-position model. The record is from RNAcentral.
GACGAACGCUGGCGGCGUGCCUAAUACAUGCAAGUUGAGCGCUGAAGGUUGGUACUUGUACCUACUGGAUGAGCAGCGAACGGGUGAGUAACGCGUGGGGAAUCUGCCUUUGAGCGGGGGAUAACUUCUGGAAACGAAUGCUAAUACCGCAUAAAAACUUUAAACACAAGUUUUAAGUUUGAAAGAUGCAAUUGCAUCCAUCAAUGAUGAUCCCGCGUUGUAUUAGCUAGUUGGUGAGGUAAAGGCCCACCAAGGCGAAGAUACAUAACCGACCUUAGAGGGUGAUCGGCCACAAUGGGAACGAGACACGGCCCAAACUCCUACGGGAGGCAGCAGUAGGGAAUCUUCGGCAAUGGACGAAAGUCUGGCCGAGCAACGCCGGGUGAGUGAAGGAGGUUUUCGGAUCGUAAAACUCUGUUGGUAGAGAAGAACGAUGGGGAGAAUUAAAUACGCAUCAAGUGACGGUAACUACCCAGAAAGGGACGGCUAACUACGUG